This 449-nucleotide ribosomal RNA is filed under the name uncultured bacterium. RNAcentral describes it as "partial 16S ribosomal RNA". It matches the Rfam family "Bacterial small subunit ribosomal RNA", at positions 29 to 523 of the family's 1533-position model. The record is from RNAcentral.
AAUGAACGCUGGCGGCAGGCCUAACACAUGCAAGUCGAACGGAUCCUUCGGGAUUAGUGGCGGACGGGUGAGUAACGCGUGGGAACAUACCCAAAGGUACGGAAUAGCCUCGGGAAACUGGGAGUAAUACCGUAUGUGCUCGACAGAGGAAAGAUUUAUCGCCUUUGGAUUGGCCCGCGUUGGAUUAGGUAGUUGGUGGGGUAAUGGCCUACCAAGCCGACGAUCCAUAGCUGGUUUGAGAGGAUGAUCAGCCACACUGGGAAUGAGACACGGCCCAGACUCCUACGGGAGGCAGCAGUGGGGAAUCUUAGACAAUGGGGGAAACCCUGAUCUAGCCAUGCCGCGUGAUCGAUGAAGGCCUUAGGGUUGUAAAGAUCUUCCAGGUGGGAAGAUAAUGACUGUACCACCAGAAGAAGCCCCGGCUAACUCCGUGCCAGCCGCCGCCGUAA